Molecule: small nuclear RNA, 109 nt
Filed under: Castor canadensis (American beaver)
Lineage: Eukaryota; Metazoa; Chordata; Mammalia; Rodentia; Castoridae
Source: RNAcentral
GUGCUCACUUCAGAAGCACAUAUACUAAAGAUGGAACAAUAUACAGAGAAGAUCAGUAUGGCCCCUGUGCAAGGAUGACACGCAAAUUCGUGAAGUGUUCCAUAGUUUA